UACAACAAGCGGAGCAUGAUAGGUCGCUUUGACGCUUCAGCUAAUAAGAUGAUCCUGAUUGCUAGUGGACGUUUUAAAGCCUCCAGGGAACCACCAUCUUCCAGGAACCAAACGAGGUUAGUUUAUUUUCGUGCUGGACCACAUCAACAUCUUGAAGAACUUCCUGUCUUUUUUUUGAAGCUUUUAAGCAACCGCAACAUGCAGGAAAGUGUGAUUGCCUCAAGGGUCAGAUUCUUCAUGGCUGGCUCAAGUAUCAUCAAGAGCUGAUAUAUUUUGCAAGGGGACAGUGAGCAUUGGAUACCUACUUAUUGUGUCUGUUCUCAUUGAGCCACUGGAAAAAGGGUGGUAGCAUAGACAUCAACGAGAAACCACAGUGAGGAAGCUUCUGAGAACCAUGGCCGAGUGUCCCUCCAAAACAAAAUAAAGAAUGAACAGUUCCACCACAGGUAUCAAUACCUUUCUCUCACCACCUGUACCAAAUGUGAUGGAUUACCCAUACGGGGGACCUUAAGCCUCCCAUGUCCUUGGCUGGAGGCAAUGAAUGAAGCCCAGGCCCCAUCUAUCACAUUACCUGACGCUGUCUAAACCCACCAUAAAUAACAUCCCCAUUUUAACCCCUUUAAUUGAUGUUCAACAACAAUGAUGCUGUCCCACAAAAAAGUAGCAUCGCAGAAAGAUGACACGUGCAUCCACUACAUCUAGAGUGUGCAAUAACCAGUGAUAUCAGACGGAGCAGAGAAGUGUGGUUCGCACACCCAUAUAUGAUUGCAGUAGGUAAGGAAAAGUUUUAUAUCCCAACCCUCGUUUCGGAUUGAUGAUUACAUUUUACUAAUUACCUGCAUCCUCAACAGUUGCCACACCAACCCAGCCAACAAACAAACAC
This 883-nucleotide long non-coding RNA is filed under the name Musa acuminata (dwarf banana). RNAcentral describes it as "long non-coding RNA (MACU_LNC006095)". The record is from RNAcentral. Lineage: Eukaryota; Viridiplantae; Streptophyta; Magnoliopsida; Zingiberales; Musaceae.